GACAGAGGUCCCAAGCGUUAGGCGGAAUCACUGGGCUUAAAGCGUGUGUAGGCGGAUGCCUAAGUACCUUGUGAAAUCCCACGGCUCACCCGUGGAACUGCUUGGUAUACUGGGUGUCUUGAGCCACUUAGGGGCUACCGGAACAAAUGGUGGAGCGGUGAAAUGCGUAGAUAUGCGGAGGAACACCGAUGGCGAAGGCAAUCCCCUGGGCCUGCACUGACGCUCAUGCACGAAAGCGUGGGGAGCAAACAGG
Molecule: ribosomal RNA, 253 nt
Filed under: uncultured bacterium
Lineage: Bacteria
Description: partial 16S ribosomal RNA
Rfam family: Bacterial small subunit ribosomal RNA
Source: RNAcentral